CGAAGGGGGCGAGCGUUAUUCGGAAUCACUGGGCGUAAAGCGUGCGUAGGCUGUUCAGCAAGUCAGGAGUGAAAGCCCAAGGCUCAACCUUGGAAGCGCUCUUGAAACUGCUGGACUUGAAUUUGGGAGAGGAUAGCGGAAUUGUCAGUGUAGCAGUGAAAUGCGUAGACAUUGACAGGAACACCAGUGGCGCAAGCGGCUAUCUGGACCAACAUUGACGCUGAGGCACGAAAGCGUGGGGAUCAAACAGGAUUAGAUACCCUGGUAGUCCACGCCGUAAACGAUGUGUGUUUGUCGCUGGGGGGUUCCCCUUCGGUGACGAAGCUAACGCGUUAAGCACACCGCCUGGGAAGUACGGCCGCAAGGUUA
RNAcentral lists this ribosomal RNA (369 nucleotides) under uncultured organism. Its description in RNAcentral is "bacterial SSU rRNA". It matches the Rfam family "Bacterial small subunit ribosomal RNA", at positions 526 to 896 of the family's 1533-position model. The record is from RNAcentral.